This is a long non-coding RNA of Cyprinus carpio carpio, 636 nucleotides long. The record is from Ensembl. NCBI's taxonomy places the organism in Eukaryota, Metazoa, Chordata, Actinopteri, Cypriniformes, Cyprinidae.
CCACAUAACACUUUAAAGUGCAAAAAAUAAAUAUUUUUCAGCGAAUAGUUGUGUAGGAUGGAAACAAUGGCUAUAUGUCUUCAUCUAAGUAAAAACACAUACCCGAUCUUAUAAGAGGGGAUGAUUUCAUGUGAAUUUGUAUGAUGUACAAUGUACGUAAACUAAACAUGAAGGUCCCUAACCCCACACCCAAAUCUUAACAUCAGUGAGGCGUAGACACAUUGACAAAGUCAACAGUGUAUGAGUAAGCCACCAAUUUGCUAAAAUGUAAAAUAGUUUCAGACUGCCAUAAAAAUGUGUUGACUAUUCAGAUUAUGGCCAGUAAUCAAAAUAAGGAACUACUUUGAUUGAGAUCUUUACAUGCAAAUAUCUUUUGUGCUCCAUAGAAGAAAGCCAUAUUGGUUUGGAAUGACAUGAGGCUUUCCCUUUUCCUGUCGAGGAUGGUGCUCGGAAGUUGUUGUUAUUGAAGAUCUUUCCUCCAUUGCGUUUUCUACAGGAUGAGGCUUUAAGGGGGGCUUCCCUUUCUGGGUCACUGAAACUGAGACGAAGACUGGUGCAAAAGAAUCUUCAAGAAAUAAUCUGCCUAGAAAUAAAAAGUCUGACAUAAUUUACUCACCUUUAUGUCACUUCAAACCC